UGAGCCAAGUUUAGGGUUUUCUCAAAACCCAAGCAGUAUUGAACUGAAGAGUUUGAUCAUGGCUCAGAUUGAACGCUGGCGGCAGGCUUUACACAUGCAAGUCGAGCGGUAACAUUUCUAGCUUGCUAGAAGAUGACGAGCGGCGGACGGGGGAGUAAUACU
RNAcentral lists this ribosomal RNA (162 nucleotides) under Pusillimonas sp. Its description in RNAcentral is "partial 16S ribosomal RNA". The stretch from base 41 to 162 matches the Rfam family "Bacterial small subunit ribosomal RNA", at positions 1 to 117 of the family's 1533-position model. Lineage: Bacteria; Pseudomonadati; Pseudomonadota; Betaproteobacteria; Burkholderiales; Alcaligenaceae. The record is from RNAcentral.